This is a long non-coding RNA of Oreochromis niloticus (Nile tilapia), 1793 nucleotides long. RefSeq lists it as uncharacterized. The transcript is spliced from 2 exons. NCBI's taxonomy places the organism in Eukaryota, Metazoa, Chordata, Actinopteri, Cichliformes, Cichlidae. The record is from RefSeq and is a predicted model, not a curated record.
UCAAGAUCCAAUCGAAUCAAAUGGAAUCGAAUUGAAUCGUGGAUCGAAUUGAUUCGGGACCUUGUGAAUCGGAAUUGAAUCGAUUCUAGAAAUCAGUGACGAUACCCAGCCCUAAUCAUAUGCUCCUAUGUUUUCCUUUCAGAUGUUGAUAAACUGUAGCUGCUGCAGACCUCCAGACAAAGAGAAAGGUCUUCGAGAAGGUGAUGGCUGUGAGGUGCCUGAGAGAGGAGGAGAUGAUCCUUUGCAGGGAAAUGUGGCAUCACUGGACAGUGUUGUGAGUGCGAUCUGUGGUGUUGGGGACAAUCUCCUCAGACUCCUCCCUUGUUGGCAUGUCGGAGGAUGCACAGAAGGGACUGUGAUUACAAUGUAAUGAUUACAGGACAUCAGACUAGUUGUUCUUAUUGUUUAAUUACGAAAAAUUGUCAUAUAGAAAUAAAAACCCUGAAGUUGUUAAUUGCUAUUUAAACACUGUAUCUUGUCAUUCAACAUGUAUAUACUUGCCUGGAAAUUUCAACAGCUUUUCAUGUGUUUUGAAACUGGGUUUUUGGAGACCUCAAAUGUAAAAUUUUCUGUCUCUAAAGCACGCAAAAAUGUUCGGACCUUUUUCAUAGUGCAUGUUUGAGGAUUAUUUUUUCUAAAGAAAUAAUUAACAGUUCAGCGGGCUGCAUACUGAACUUAAAAAGCAAAGUAUUAAUCCAAUCGUGCUGGUAUCGAUCCGAUACCAAUGCUAGAGUUGUUAUCCAUAUUAUCGAUAUUUGGAUUGAUCCGCCCACCUCUAGUUGUUUCAUUCAAAUACAGUUCGUUUCUGUUGACCUUCCAGUUAUUGUUUUAAACUGCAUUAAAAAUUAUGUCACUGACCGGGUUGUUGGUUAGUUUCAGAGUAGGCUACAAAAUUCUUUAAAUAGUGAAAUGUAAAAAAAUGUAGCAAAGUGCAUUUUAUUCACCAAAUUUUGUUCUCAUACUCAACAGUUAACUUGUGCAUUACUCAUCACUGUUACUUGAGAGCACAAUAAAUAUGAGCCUGAAUGAAAAAUCUAGCUCUGUGCAAUUUGUCAGGUGAUUAGUAAUGCUGAUGAAGACUGUGUUGUGUUCAAAAAGUGAGUAAGAGGACCUUGAGUAAGUGAGCAGAAAUACAUUUUCUAUCCGGACAAACAAACUUGCAGAGGCUUUUUUAUUUAUCGCUUAAUAGUCACAGAUGACCAUGUCAACACAGUUAGAUACAAAGUGGCUAAUGAUCCCACAUUAUCUCCCAACGCGGAGGCAUCCUAAGGGCUGCAAAAUAAAAGCAUGUGUGGUCUCCUGAGAUGUAAAACACACUGUAGAUUGCAUAUUUCUCUACAGUUUGUGUAGCCUAUCAUCUUUUCAGCUUAUUUGGAAUGGUUAUGUCAGAGGUUGUUCACCUGUUGACCAGCAGAGGUUGAGCACUAUGUCCUGUUAAAGUUGAACUUAUGUAAAUGUGAAAAUUCAGAAGUAUCUUUUGUGGAAAAGUUCAAAUGAAACAAAUUUUUUUUGCAUCCUGAAAGUUUAUGUGCAAUAAUAGCUUUUGAAGAAAUCUGUGAGCAUGUAUUUCAGUUAUAUGUAAUAAAGCUCUUUGCUACAAUAAUUCUAGAUUAACAUCCCUUUAUAGAUACAGGGCAAGAGGCUUAUAAUCGCCAUAAUAUAAUACACUAUAUACAUCAAUCAGCUUCAUUUUUCACCACUAUUGAGCUUUCAGUGUCCUCCAAAAAGGCGCUUGCGUUUUCCGAGGCCAGCAGGAGGCAGUCUUGUUUAGCAGGAGAUGAUGAGGGCAUCAA